Molecule: non-coding RNA, 459 nt
Filed under: Pongo abelii (Sumatran orangutan)
Lineage: Eukaryota; Metazoa; Chordata; Mammalia; Primates; Hominidae
Source: RNAcentral
AUGGCUAAUUUUUUUUGUAUUUUUUGUAGAGAUGGGGUUUUGCCAUGUUGCCAGGCUGGUCUCGAACUCCUGCAGUUUGCUCUCCUUGGCCUCACAAAAUGCUGGGAUUACAGGCAUGAGCUACAGCACCCAGCCCUUAUGUUUACUUUUCGUAGACAGGAAGAGUGUCUUCAUCUCUGCAUCCCUAGUGCAACAGAGCAUGAUAAAAAUUCAAUAAAUAUUUAUUGCAGAGUCUUGAUGUCUUUUGGGAAAGGAACUCUAUGGUUACCUUUACUCUAAGAUUAGAAGGGUGUUACUGAUUCUUACCUCAGAGAAGAGAAUGUCAUGGAGACAAAAUGACCUGCUUAGAGUUCUGCGCCCCCCAGCAUGGAGAGCAGAGCGCAAAGAUUUCCUCCAGACUCCCACAUUCUCCCUUGGAAUCCAAGAACUUGUCUACUAUCACAACACUUUAGUACCCAC